Molecule: ribosomal RNA, 312 nt
Filed under: uncultured bacterium
Lineage: Bacteria
Description: bacterial SSU rRNA
Rfam family: Bacterial small subunit ribosomal RNA
Source: RNAcentral
AACGAACGCUGGCGGCGCGCCUAAUACAUGCAAGUCGAGCGAGAAGACGUAGCAAUACGUUUGUAAAGCGGCGAACGGGUGAGGAAUACAUGGGUAACCUACCCUCGAGUGGGGAAUAACUAGCCGAAAGGUUAGCUAAUACCGCGUACGCUCCUUGGACUUCGGUUCAGGGAGGAAAGCGAUACCGUGGGUAUCGCGCUCUUGGAUGGGCUCAUGUCCUAUCAGCUUGUUGGNGAGGUACGGCUCACCAAGCUUCGACGGGUAGCUGGUCUGAGAGGACGAUCAGCCACACUGGCACUGCGACGACGGGCC